RNAcentral lists this long non-coding RNA (2406 nucleotides) under Vitis vinifera (wine grape). RNAcentral describes it as "long non-coding RNA (VVIN_LNC005560)". Lineage: Eukaryota; Viridiplantae; Streptophyta; Magnoliopsida; Vitales; Vitaceae. The record is from RNAcentral.
UCACUCUUCUUGUGGGAAUAUUCCGGAUAUAAGCUACCCUUUCCGACUGAAAGAUGACCGACCCAGGUGUGGAGACAGGAAGUAUGAACUGGCUUGUGAGAAUAAUCGCACAAUCUUACACUUGUGGGAAAAUUUUUUGGCUAUCAUUUCUUUGAUUAAAUGAUUUGUAACUUGAAAACCAAAAAGGAACAAAGAAAAAAAAAAUGCAAAAAAGAGAAUGAUCUACCAAAAGAAAAAAAGAUGAACCCCAAAUAGUUAGCAUAGAUACAUUGAAGCCUCUUCCACCAAAUCAAUUAGGUGAAAUAUGGGUUCGAGGACCAAACAUGAUGCAGGGCAAAGUUUGAUCAAAAGUUUGUGUUAGUUCCUCUUCGCAACGAUUUCUAACAACAAGUGACCUUAUUUGAAUCUCCCAAUUAAUUAGGAUCCAUUCAAAUUGAACCAUCUUAAUUCAUUUAGAAAGGAAACAUGGUGGUUAAGACAUCAAUUUUGGUUAAAAUCAAAUUAUUAAUGUUUUAAUUUUGCCUUGUAUUGACUUGUGAAGCCAAACAAUGUAUUCCAAAUCAGACUGCUUAAUCUCACAAGUGGCUUGCCUUUUGCUGUGGGACCUCCUAAGCUAACCCUCAUCUUGCUAACAUCUGAUUUGCCAAAUUAGGCGGAUUAGACCUGUCAGACAUGUUAUAACAUAUAACUGAACACCUAAGAUUCAAAGUUUGAUUCUUUCAAUUGGUCUUUCAAUUAGACCUCUAUGACAUAUGUGAAAUAUAAAAUUGCUUUUGAAUUUUGUAUCUCUUUAUACCAUUGAGUUUCAAAUAUUCUACAUUAAGGAAAAGAGGUGCUCAAUAAAAGAGAAUGAAAGAAUGGUAAGAUUAUCAUUCUCAGAUAUUUAUAAGCCAAUCUUGGCUAUUAUACCUUGAUUUGUAGCUAACUCUCUCAGGAUGUGAAUUGCCUGAGAUAUGGUGGCCUCAAAUGAAAAAAGAAAGGAAAGGGAAAAACCAACCAGAAAGAAAAGGAAUUUGAUAAUUAGUAAAUUGUCGGGAAGAAAAAGCAAAUGCCUUCAACCUAGUAGAUCAAAUUAGUAAAAUGUCUCUCCUGUAAGCAUCAAAAUUUCCACUCAAAGAAAAAAUAUCAAGCUUAUGUCAAUCAGCUGAAUUAAAAAUGAAAAAAUGAGCCUAAAAAAUCAAUUCCUAAUUUUGAGAAGUUAGAAAAUCACAAAAUUGCAUUUGCCCCAUACAUGAGAUAACAGGAUUUGUAUAGAAGUAAAAGAAUGGUUGGUGAAAAACAAAUGUUGAAGUCCAUUUAAGAUUACCACUUGAAUCCUAAGAAAUGAAAAUUGAGGGAGGUAAAUUAGGAAGCCUUUUCCCUCCUUCAAAAUUGCAUAAACCCCAAAACCUAUCAAAAUUUUCUCCUGAAUAGCAAUUAUACAUGAGAUAAAUAUAGUUAAAUGACAUGAAUUUCAACAUCUGAAUUUUUAGAUUUUUGACAAAAUGCUUCUAGUCCAUACCCAUUAAUUUCGAUAAACUUAAUAUUCAUUUUCCCCCUUCUUCUUAGUGUUUACAUGAAGAACAAAAAUAGUCUAAGGGGGUUACUUUGAUGGAUUCAAAAUAAAAAAUAAAUAAAUAGAUAAAUAAAAUGAAAAAAAAAAAAAGGAAACAAGAUCAAGAUGAGUCAAAAGUGUAGCAUCCUAAUUAGGGUGCAAAAUGAAGAGCUUUGCUCUAUCCGAAGCUUCCAUAGUCUUUGAUUUUAUUAGGUACAGACAAGGCACUAUAAUAAUAGUAGACUGCAUUGAAUUUCUUCAUGUCACUAAAAUUUUCAACUUCAUCUUAUGCACGGAAGACAAAAAAAAACACAAAAGAGAAGGAACACGAGCAAUCAUUGCUUCCAAGCUAAGCUUUGAUGCACAUGAAAAUGGAAAGAAGAAUAAGAGUGCAGAGAUGAGGUAUGUGAAAGUAUGGUGAGGGAUUGAUGCUCAUAAUAAUUAGUAAAUAUAUACCAGGGAAUCCAAACACAAACCCUAACCUUAACCCUAACCAGAAAAAGAGAGGUGGGAGGAAAUAGAAGUGAUGAAAAGAAACCUAAUUUGAAAUCAAAGAAAGAAAGAAAGGAAUAACAGAGUGUGAAGCCGUGGAAGGAAUCGAAAGAAUACCUGGAAGAUGUGGGCGAUGAAGUGGCUAAAGAAAUUGGUCGUUGAGCGAGUUGGUCAUUGAUCUAAGCCCCCUCAGUGAUGAGGAUGUCAGUGACGACAACAAUCUAGUCGGAGAAACAUACAGUGAUGAGGAUGGGAGAAGAGUUCGAUGGUCUGUAAUGGUGGCUAAGAAGAGUGAAUGAUAAAAGACAUGGCUCUCAAUGGGUUCAGCAGUCUAAAGUGAGCAGGAGAGAUAGUGCUUAUAUCGUGGCUCUAUGGUCGCG